UAGCUCAGCUGGUAGAGCAGAGG
Molecule: transfer RNA, 23 nt
Filed under: Morus rubra (red mulberry)
Lineage: Eukaryota; Viridiplantae; Streptophyta; Magnoliopsida; Rosales; Moraceae
Description: partial tRNA-Phe
Source: RNAcentral